Thalassophryne amazonica is the source of this 681-nucleotide long non-coding RNA. RefSeq lists it as uncharacterized. NCBI's taxonomy places the organism in Eukaryota, Metazoa, Chordata, Actinopteri, Batrachoidiformes, Batrachoididae. The record is from RefSeq and is a predicted model, not a curated record. The transcript has 3 exons.
GACAGACAGGUAUAAAGAAGCAGGUAGGCAUAAAAAAAGAACCACAGAAGGUGGAAGAGAUCACACAGGAUCAAGAUGGAGAAAAGAAUGGAGCUUGUACUGUUUGCUUGCAUGACCUUCAUGCUGCUUAGCAGCAAGGGAGAAACACAAGAGGCACCUUGCAGCAACGAAACAGCCACCUCUGGUAAUAUCUACAAUCAGACCGUGGCCCCAGCAAGUUCCCAAAUGACCUCAACUACGACAGCCAAAAGCAGCCACACAGUCACACCAGGUGAUACCACCAAAGAGACCACGGCCACAGCAAGUUCCCAAAUGACUUAAGCUCAGAUAACUGUCAGCAACCGUACAGAAACAUGGCCAUCUUCUUCAUCUCCCACAUCACUGUCCACAGACACAAAUUCAUCAACACAGCCCAUUGUGACCGCAGGAACCACAGAUACUCCUGAAAGCACAGAAAACCCUAAAACUGUGACAAUUCCUCCUAGAUCCACACACUCAAGCCUCCCUACGCCUACAAGAGGAGGAUCUUCCUCUUUGUUUGGGUCCUGUGGCCACCUUCUGGUACCUCUAAUAUAUAUUCUGAUCCACUGAAUGUGAAGCGGGAAGAACCACUGUGCAUUGUCCAUUAUUGUGCAUUUGCUUUUAAAAUUGCUUAUUCAAAUUUUUUAAUAAUCACAGUGU